UCGAGGAUCUUCGUCAAUGGGCGAAAGCCUGAACGAGCGACGCCGCGUGCGCGAUGAAGGCCUUCGGGUUGUAAAGCGCGAAAGUGGGGACGAAAGCCGAAAGGUUUGACCGAUCCACAGUAAGCUCGGGCUAAGUUCGUGCCAGCAGCCGCGGUAAGACGAACCGAGCGAACGUUAUUCGGAAUCACUGGGCUUAAAGGGCGCGUAGGCGGGCAUUCAAGUCUGUGGUGAAAUCCGGCAGCUCAACUGUCGAACUGCCAUGGAUACUGGGUGUCUCGAGGGAGGUAGGGGCGUGCGGAACUAUUGGUGGAGCGGUGAAAUGCGUUGAUAUCAAUAGGAACUCCGGUGGCGAAGGCGGCACGCUGGACCUCUUCUGACGCUGAGGCGCGAAAGCCAGGGGAGCAAACGGGAUUAGAUACCCCUGUAGUCC
Molecule: ribosomal RNA, 430 nt
Filed under: uncultured bacterium
Lineage: Bacteria
Description: bacterial SSU rRNA
Rfam family: Bacterial small subunit ribosomal RNA
Source: RNAcentral